Molecule: ribosomal RNA, 430 nt
Filed under: uncultured soil bacterium
Lineage: Bacteria
Description: bacterial SSU rRNA
Rfam family: Bacterial small subunit ribosomal RNA
Source: RNAcentral
AGAGUGAACGCUGGCGGCAGGCCUAACACAUGCAAGUCGAGCGGCAGCGCAGCAGUAGCAAUACUGUGGGCGGCGAGCGGCGGACGGGUGAGGAAUACAUCGGAAUCUACCUUCUUGUGGGGGAUAACGUAGGGAAACUUACGCUAAUACCGCAUAAGACCUGAGGGUGAAAGCAGGGGACCGCAAGGCCUUGCGCGAGAAGAUGAGCCGAUGUCCGAUUAGCUAGUUGGUGAGGUAAAGGCUCACCGAAGGCGACGAUCGGUAGCUGGUCUGGAGAGGAUGAUCAGCCACACGUGGAACUGAGACACGGUCCAAGACCUCCGUACGGGAGGCAGCCAGGUAGGGGAAUUAGUAGGAACAAGUGGGCGACAAGGUCCUGAUCCGAGCCAGUCGGCCGUCGUGUGAGAACGGAGGUCCGUUAGGUUAGUAA